GGCCCUUUCGUAUAGAUAGGUCUAGUACAAGGCAACUUCACUGCCUAAACGCCAGUUCGAUCCUGGCAAGGGUCA
RNAcentral lists this transfer RNA (75 nucleotides) under Rhizophagus intraradices. Its description in RNAcentral is "tRNA-Glu". Lineage: Eukaryota; Fungi; Glomeromycota; Glomeromycetes; Glomerales; Glomeraceae. RNAcentral also lists the same sequence under 5 other names. The record is from RNAcentral.